Regulatory RNA element from Astyanax mexicanus (Mexican tetra), 54 nucleotides. It matches the Rfam family "UnaL2 LINE 3' element". Rfam says of the family: The eel long interspersed element (LINE) UnaL2 and its partner short interspersed element (SINE) share a conserved 3' tail containing a stem-loop that is critical for their retrotransposition. Lineage: Eukaryota; Metazoa; Chordata; Actinopteri; Characiformes; Acestrorhamphidae. The record is from Rfam.
AUGAAACAUUUUUGUAAGUCGCUCUGGGUAAGAGCAUCUGCUAAAUGGUUUAAA